This 70-nucleotide transfer RNA is filed under the name Caudoviricetes sp. Its description in RNAcentral is "tRNA-OTHER". It matches the Rfam family "tRNA". From Rfam's summary of the family: Transfer RNA (tRNA) molecules are approximately 80 nucleotides in length. Their secondary structure includes four short double-helical elements and three loops (D, anti-codon, and T loops). The record is from RNAcentral. Lineage: Duplodnaviria; Heunggongvirae; Uroviricota; Caudoviricetes.
UGGUAUAUAGUUUAAAGGUAAAACAACCGUCAGAAAGCGGAAAUUGUCGGUUCGAGUCCGACUAUACCAA